Molecule: unclassified non-coding RNA, 959 nt
Filed under: Hevea brasiliensis (rubber tree)
Lineage: Eukaryota; Viridiplantae; Streptophyta; Magnoliopsida; Malpighiales; Euphorbiaceae
Source: RNAcentral
UCCUCCGCCAUCGACUCUCCGCCUUUAUGGAGGUUGUCUCCGGCAACUUCUCCUGAUUCUUGCCAUAGAGCCACAAAAACUAAAGAAGAAGAAGAAGAAGAUGAAGCAAGAAAAUGUUGCUGAUGUAUGUAGUUCUCGAAACUUAAUUCAUUAUUAUUGUUGACAAAUGUGUUAUUGAAAUACAGUUGCACUACUUGUUUCAGAUCAAGUUGCACAUUGUGAAGUGAAACUUAUUACGACUAGACUACCUUAAGAACGAAAUCUAUGUGAUUCCAAGAUCGGCAGCAAUUUAGUACUAUUGCUUAACAACUUGCACCAGCUUGGCAUCUUUCAAUCAUAAAUAAAGUUCAUGCAAUUGAAUGGACUAGCAGGCAAAAUGAAAGAGGCAUUUGCAAUAGAAAACAUCUUUCUACAAUUUAGUUCAUUACAGUAGAAUAAAACUACAAAAGAGCUUUUGACAUUUAGCAAAAUAUACAUUUGAGCACUUGACCAUAUGAUCCUAGACAUCUAAAAUUUGCUCAAGUCCCUUAGUUGCUCUUUAGUUCCUCACUUUUAAAUUAGCCAACAUUCUAAUCCCCUAGUUUUUAUAUUUUAUAUACUUCAGAGUUCAGUCUAAAAUAAGAGUAAAAGGUGUAGCACAUAGAAAAUAUAGAGACUAUAAAGUUAAUCCAUUGAAAAAAUUAGAGGUUGAAGUGUAUGAGAUUUUAAUGCAAGGAUUAUAAUGCAAAGAAUUUGAUGAAUUAAGAAUUAUAAAAUUCACCUUGAGAAAAUCCAACACUUAAUUUUGCCAAAUGCUAAAGGUUUUUGGUUUUUUGUAAUUUAUCCUUAUAAAUAAUACAAAGACUGCAAAAAGCUCAGUGAUUGGUGUUUUCCCUUCAUUAAAUGAAUUAUUCAUCUAAAUAAGACGAGGGUUACCAGUAAUUGAAACUAUAUGUCUAGAAAUGGUGGGCUAAUUUAAG